AACGAACGCUGGCGGCAGGCCUAACACAUGCAAGUCGAGCGAGCAUUUCGGUGCUAGCGGCGGACGGGUGAGUAACGCGUGGGAACGUGCCCUUUUCUGCGGAAUAGUCCUGGGAAACUGGGGGUAAUACCGCAUACGCCCUUUUGGGGAAAGAUUUAUCGGAGAAGGAUCGGCCCGCGUUGGAUUAGGUAGUUGGUGGGGUAAUGGCACACCAAGCCGACGAUCCAUAGCUGGUUUGAGAGGAUGAUCAGCCACACUGGGACUGAGACACGGCCCAGACUCCUACGGGAGGCAGCAGUGGGGAAUCUUAGACAAUGGGGGCAACCCUGAUCUAGCCAUGCCGCGUGAGUGAUGAAGGCCUUAGGGUUGUAAAGCUCUUUCAGCUGGGAAGAUAAUGACGGUACCAGCAGAAGAAGCCCCGGCUAACUCCGUG
Molecule: ribosomal RNA, 433 nt
Filed under: uncultured bacterium
Lineage: Bacteria
Description: partial 16S ribosomal RNA
Rfam family: Bacterial small subunit ribosomal RNA
Source: RNAcentral